UGAAGAUCUCCUUUGAGGAUGUGCAGU
RNAcentral lists this non-coding RNA (27 nucleotides) under Homo sapiens (human). Lineage: Eukaryota; Metazoa; Chordata; Mammalia; Primates; Hominidae. The record is from RNAcentral.